Molecule: non-coding RNA, 164 nt
Filed under: Paenibacillus ihuae
Lineage: Bacteria; Bacillati; Bacillota; Bacilli; Caryophanales; Paenibacillaceae
Description: FMN riboswitch (RFN element)
Rfam family: FMN riboswitch aptamer (RFN element)
About the family: The RFN element is a highly conserved domain that is found frequently in the 5'-untranslated regions of prokaryotic mRNAs that encode for flavin mononucleotide (FMN) biosynthesis and transport proteins. This element is a metabolite-dependent riboswitch that directly binds FMN in the absence of proteins.
Source: RNAcentral
UCCUUCAGGGCAGGGUGUAAUUCCCUACCGGCGGUGAUGUCACUAUGUGAUGGCUUUAAUAGCCAUUAGGGUGCUUAGUCCGCUACCCGCUUCGUAUUUUAUUAUACGAACGGUGGACCCGGUGCAAUUCCGGGACCGACAGUAUAGUCUGGAUGGAAGAAGGA